This 410-nucleotide long non-coding RNA is filed under the name Bos indicus x Bos taurus (hybrid cattle). RNAcentral describes it as "lncRNA (ENSBIXG00000029728.1)". Lineage: Eukaryota; Metazoa; Chordata; Mammalia; Artiodactyla; Bovidae. The record is from RNAcentral.
AUGAGUGGGCAAGUGGCAUCAACAUUGGGACCUACAAAGCAAGAUUGCUCCCAGGUGGAUGAACCUGUGGUUGACCAGCAGCCCAGUGUUGAGCAGCCUCAACAAGAGAAACCGCCAGCUGAGAUUCAGGAUAUCACACCUAGACAGGAGGAAGUACAUGGAGAGGAUCCAGUGAAUCGUGAUGAAGAAGAGGAGAAGGAUCCCUUUGAAGGUAAAAUUCUGGCCUGGAAGCUGAUCUCCAGCAAUUGGCUCUGGCAAAGACUGGGGGUGAAGGUGGAGAUGGUCCCGAUGUCAGGGAGGAGUUUGCAUCAAAUACAGAGCCUGGUGAAAUGCCAGAAGCAGGUAGUUCGGACCCCAGAUGCCUGAAUGCCUGACUUACAGACUUUCAAAUAAAGAAACAGACAGGAUCA